RNAcentral lists this ribosomal RNA (1433 nucleotides) under Dyscophus guineti (Sambava tomato frog). Its description in RNAcentral is "partial 16S ribosomal RNA". It matches the Rfam family "Bacterial large subunit ribosomal RNA", at positions 378 to 2585 of the family's 2925-position model. Lineage: Eukaryota; Metazoa; Chordata; Amphibia; Anura; Microhylidae. The record is from RNAcentral.
GCCUAAAGCCUAGCCCCACACAACCCAAAUGACAACAACAGAUGUCUACAAUAUCAAUAAAACAUUCUACACUAUUAGUAGAGGCGAUUGAAAAAUGUCUUGGAGCUUUAGAAACAGUACCGCAAGGGAAAGGUGAAAUAGCAAUGAAAUAAAUCUUAAGUAAUACAAAGCAGAGAUUUUACCUCGUACCUUUUGCAUCAUGGUUUAGUCAGUCCACCCAAGCAGAAAGAAAUUUUAGUUUGACCCCCCGAAACUAGACGAGCUACUUCAAAACAGCCUUAAGAGCAAACCCGUCUCUGUUGCAAAAGAGUGGGAAGAUUUUCAAGUAGCGGUGAUAUACCUAUCGAGUCUAGAGAUAGCUGGUUAUUCAGGAAAAGGAUAUAAGUCCAACCUUAAGUCUUCUAAUGACUACUAACAUAACCACAGACUUAAGAGUCAUUCAAAUAAGGUACAGCUUAUUUGAAACAGGAUACAACCUCAACCACAGGGUAAUGUAUACUUUACUGUAACAAAGUGGGCCUAAGAGCAGCCACCUUUUAAAAAGCGUUAAAGCUUCACUACAAUUCCAUCUCAAUAUCAACAACCAAUCAAAACCCUUAACUACUACUGAAUGACUUCAUAAUUAUAUGAAAGACCUCAUGCUAAAACUAGUAACAAGAAGCUAACCCUUCUCCUAAUUGCAAGUGUAAGUCGACAUGGAUCCCCCGUCGACAAUUACCGUCUAUGAAACCACUAUAGUAACUCCACCAAGAAAACUCUAUUACCACAUGUGAGCACAAUCACUUGAAUAAUAACGUUAACCUUACACCAGAGCAACCUAGGAAAGAUUAAAAGAAGAGGAAGGAACUCGGCAAACAACUAACCCCGCCUGUUUACCAAAAACAUCGCCUCCUGUCAAGUAAUAGGAGGUCCCGCCUGCCCAGUGACUAUACGUUCAACGGCCGCGGUACCCUAACCGCGCGAAGGUAGCGCAAUCACUUGUCCUUUAAAUGUGGACUAGUAUGAACGGCAUAACGAGGGUUAUACUGUCUCCCUCUUCCAAUCAGUGAAACUGAUCUCCCCGUGAAGAAGCGGGGAUAACAUUAUAAGACGAGAAGACCCCAUGGAGCUUUAAACCCAAAGUCAACUGCUGCCGCAUAUAUCCCCAAAGCUAUAGCAGAUUUCUGUCACUUUGGUUUUCGGUUGGGGUGACCGCGGAGCAAAAUAAAACCUCCACGAUGAACGGAACUAACUCCUAAUCCAAGAGCUACAACUCAAAGAAUCAAAACUUUGACAUAAAUUGAUCCAAAUAAUUUGAUCAACGAACCAAGUUACCCUGGGGAUAACAGCGCAAUCCAUUUUUAGAGCUCCUAUCGACAAAUGGGUUUACGACCUCGAUGUUGGAUCAGGGUAUCCCAGUGGUGUAGCCGCUACUAAAGGUUCGUUUGUUCAAC